UGCCAUGUUCUGAUGCCUGUUUGGGAUGGA
Molecule: non-coding RNA, 30 nt
Filed under: Rattus norvegicus (Norway rat)
Lineage: Eukaryota; Metazoa; Chordata; Mammalia; Rodentia; Muridae
Source: RNAcentral